RNAcentral lists this ribosomal RNA (450 nucleotides) under uncultured bacterium. RNAcentral's name for it is "partial 16S ribosomal RNA". It matches the Rfam family "Bacterial small subunit ribosomal RNA", at positions 338 to 795 of the family's 1533-position model. The record is from RNAcentral.
CCUACGGGGGGCUGCAGUGAGGAAUAUUGGGCAAUGCCCGCAAGGGUGACCCAGCAACGCCGCGUAGAGGAUGAAGGCCGUAAGGUUGUAAACUCCUGUUAGAGGAGAAGAAUAGUACCGAUUGGAUCGGUAUUUGACUGUACCCCCAGAGAAAGCCCCGGCUAACUACGUGCCAGCAGCCGCGGUAAUACGUAGGGGGCAAGCGUUAUCGGGUGUAACUGGGUGUAAAGGGCGAGCAGGCGGGAGAGCUGAAAUCCUACAGCUUAACUGUAGAACUGCCUUUGAUACUGUUAUUCUUGAGUUCGGGAGAGAGAGACGGAAUUCCAGGUGUAGUGGUGAAAUACGUAGAUAUCUGGAAGAACACCAGUUGCGAAGGCGGUCUCUUGGUCCGAUACUGACGCUGAGGCGCGAAAGCGUGGGGAGCAAACAGGAUUAGAUACCCCUGUAGUC